RNAcentral lists this ribosomal RNA (492 nucleotides) under uncultured bacterium. RNAcentral's name for it is "partial 16S ribosomal RNA". It matches the Rfam family "Bacterial small subunit ribosomal RNA", at positions 29 to 507 of the family's 1533-position model. The record is from RNAcentral.
AGUGAACGCUGGCGGUAGGCCUAACACAUGCAAGUCGAACGGCAGCACAGUAAGAGCUUGCUCUUACGGGUGGCGAGUGGCGGACGGGUGAGGAAUACAUCGGAAUCUACUUUUUCGUGGGGGAUAACGUAGGGAAACUUACGCUAAUACCGCAUACGACCUACGGGUGAAAGCAGGGGAUCUUCGGACCUUGCGCGAUUGAAUGAGCCGAUGUCGGAUUAGCUAGUUGGCGGGGUAAAGGCCCACCAAGGCGACGAUCCGCAGCUGGUCUGAGAGGAUGAUCAGCCACACUGGAACUGAGACACGGUCCAGACUCCUACGGGAGGCUGCAGUGGGGAAUAUUGGACAAUGGGCGCAAGCCUGAUCCAGCCAUACCGCGUGGGUGAAGAAGGCCUUCGGGUUGUAAAGCCCUUUUGUUGGGAAAGAAAAGCAGCAGGUUAAUACCCCGCUGUUCUGACGGUACCCAAAGAAUAAGCACCGGCUAACUUCGUG